UACAGAGGGUGCGAGCGUUGUCCGGAAUCACUGGGCGUAAAGGGCGCGUAGGUGGCGACCCAAGUCGAUGGUGAAAGCUCGCCGCUCAACGGCGAGUCGGCCACUGAUACUGGGUUGCUGGAGCACUGUAGAGGCAGAUGGAAUUCCGGGUGUAGCGGUGGAAUGCGUAGAGAUCCGGAAGGACACCGGUGGCGAAAGCGGUCUGCUGGGCAGUUGCUGACACUGAGGCGCGACAGCGUGGGGAGCAAACAGG
This 253-nucleotide ribosomal RNA is filed under the name uncultured bacterium. Its description in RNAcentral is "partial 16S ribosomal RNA". It matches the Rfam family "Bacterial small subunit ribosomal RNA", at positions 524 to 776 of the family's 1533-position model. The record is from RNAcentral.